RNAcentral lists this long non-coding RNA (370 nucleotides) under Mus pahari (shrew mouse). RNAcentral describes it as "predicted gene, 22817 (MGP_PahariEiJ_G0032810.1)". The record is from RNAcentral. Lineage: Eukaryota; Metazoa; Chordata; Mammalia; Rodentia; Muridae.
GACAGAGGAAACUCAUCAACAAGAGUCUGUACAGAGGGUUCAUCUCUCCCAGACCCUGGAAAUAUCUGAGAUUGGGUUCUACCUCUAACCUAAUGGGGCUUUCCCCCAAGGGGGUAGGGAGAGUUCCCAGAGAGUGGGGUUCAUGCACAGACACACUGGACAGGUGAGGGAGACAAAAUUCACACAUGACUGUAAUAAACAAUUUUAUUCACACAAUGCAAUAAGAAGGUUUUUUUUUUUUUUCACCAGAUCCCUCUAUUUUGAAGCCUCUAAAGAAAAUAAAUUAAAUUUCAUGUUAUGGACUCUGUAGAUUUAUCUUCUUUAGGUUUUAUAGAAUUGCUUGCUUUUUUUAAGAACUAGUCCCUCUUUG